Molecule: ribosomal RNA, 517 nt
Filed under: uncultured bacterium
Lineage: Bacteria
Description: bacterial SSU rRNA
Rfam family: Bacterial small subunit ribosomal RNA
Source: RNAcentral
UAACGUUCCGAAAGGACGCUAAUACCGCAUACGCCCCAACGGGGGAAAGCGGGGGAGUCUUCGGACCUCGUGCUACAGGAUGAGCUUGCGUCGGAUUAGCUAGUUGGUGGGGUAAAGGCCUACCAAGGCGACGAUCCGUAGCUGGUCUGAGAGGAUGAUCAGCCACACCGGGACUGAGACACGGCCCGGACUCCUACGGGAGGCAGCAGUGGGGAAUAUUGCGCAAUGGGGGCAACCCUGACGCAGCCAUGCCGCGUGUGUGAAGAAGGCCUUCGGGUUGUAAAGCACUUUCAGUGGGGAGGAAAGGGCGCUGGCUAAUAUCCAGUGCAGUUGACGCUACCCACAGAAGAAGCACCGGCUAAUUCCGUGCCAGCAGCCGCGGUAAUACGGAAGGUGCGAGCGUUAAUCGGAAUUACUGGGCGUAAAGCGCGCGUAGGCGGCUUGGUAAGUCGGGUGUGAAAGCCCCGGGGCUCAACCUGGGAACUGCAUUCGAUACUGCUGGGCUAGAGUACGAGAG